UCCCUGGUAGUAUAUCGGUUAGUACACGCGCCUGUCAUCGUGUGCGAUUUUCCGCGCGAAAGCUGAGUUCGACUCCCAGCCAGAGAG
This is a non-coding RNA of Lentinula lateritia, 87 nucleotides long. The record is from the annotation of a GenBank genome assembly. Lineage: Eukaryota; Fungi; Basidiomycota; Agaricomycetes; Agaricales; Omphalotaceae.